AAAGCCAGUAGUGUGGUCUCCUGCUGGAAGCCUCGCUGAGAAUCUAGUACGUCCAAAAACAGCAAAGCAAAGACUGACUCAGAAGAAAUAAUGAAAUAUGUCUCACGUUUAUAUCAUAUAUGGAUGGAAAAGUUAUGAGCCACCCACAGAAGAGAUGAAUUGCAUGAGAAACAGAUAAAAUAGAUUCCGUUCUCCAUGCCGAAAAAAAGUCUAGACAUCUUCAGUGCAACCGGAGUUUCCACAGCUGUGCUGGUGUCACAGAGCAGCACCAUCACAUCCCCAAGUGAAGUGGUGGAAGCUCCCAGGCACUCGCACACAGAUUCACCUGUGCAG
This 333-nucleotide long non-coding RNA is filed under the name Dromaius novaehollandiae (emu). RNAcentral describes it as "lncRNA (ENSDNVG00000010818.1)". The record is from RNAcentral. Lineage: Eukaryota; Metazoa; Chordata; Aves; Casuariiformes; Dromaiidae.